AAGUCGUAACAAGGUCUCCGUUGGUGAACCAGCGGAGGGAUCAUUACUGAGUUACCGCUCUACAACCCUUUGUGAACAUACCUAACCGUUGCUUCGGCGGGCAGGGGAAGCCUCUCGCGGGCGGACCCUCCCGGCGCCGGCCCCAUCACGGGGGCGGAGCGCCCGCCGGAGGAAACCAAACUCUAUUUACACGACGUCUCUUCUGAGUGGCACAAGCAAAUAAUUAAAACUUUUAACAACGGAUCUCUUGGUUCUG
This 256-nucleotide unclassified non-coding RNA is filed under the name air metagenome. RNAcentral's name for it is "partial contains small subunit ribosomal RNA, internal transcribed spacer 1, and 5.8S ribosomal RNA". The stretch from base 1 to 46 matches the Rfam family "Eukaryotic small subunit ribosomal RNA", at positions 1786 to 1831 of the family's 1831-position model. The record is from RNAcentral.